AUCCUGGCUUAGGACGAACGCUGGCGGCGUGCUUAACACAUGCAAGUCGAACGGAACCUUCGGGUUUAGUGGCAAACGGGUGAGUAACGCGUAGGUAAUCUGCCGUAUGGAUGGGGACAACAGUUCGAAAGGACUGCUAAUACCGAAUGAAGUAUUGAUACCGCAUGGUGUUGAUAUUAAAGAUUUAUCGCCAUACGAGGAACCUGCGUCCGAUUAGGUAGUUGGUAAGGUAACGGCUUACCAAGCCGACGAUCGGUAACCGGUCUGAGAGGAUGAACGGUCACAUUGGAACUGAGACACGGUCCAGACUCCUACGGGAGGCAGCAGUGGGGAAUAUUCCACAAUGGAGGGAACUCUGAUGGAGCGACGCCGCGUGAGUGAAGAAGGGCUUCGGCUCGUAAAGCUCUUUUCUGAUUGACGAAUGACUUAUUGGAUAAGUAGAGACGGUAAAUUGGGAAUAAGCCACGGCUAACUACGUGCCAGCAGCCGC
This 490-nucleotide ribosomal RNA is filed under the name uncultured bacterium. Its description in RNAcentral is "bacterial SSU rRNA". It matches the Rfam family "Bacterial small subunit ribosomal RNA", at positions 16 to 518 of the family's 1533-position model. The record is from RNAcentral.